RNAcentral lists this ribosomal RNA (427 nucleotides) under uncultured Actinomycetes bacterium. Its description in RNAcentral is "bacterial SSU rRNA". It matches the Rfam family "Bacterial small subunit ribosomal RNA", at positions 233 to 671 of the family's 1533-position model. The record is from RNAcentral. Lineage: Bacteria; Bacillati; Actinomycetota; Actinomycetes.
GCGGCCUAUCAGCUUGUUGGUGAGGUAAUGGCUCACCAAGGCGACGACGGGGUAGCCGGCCUGAGAGGGCGACCGGCCACACUGGGACUGAGACACGGCCCAGACUCCUACGGGAGGCAGCAGUGGGGAAUAUUGGGCAAUAGAGGAAACUCUGACCCAGCGACGCCGCGUGAGGGAUGAAGGCCUUCGGGUUGUAAACCUCUUUCAGUAGGGAAGAAGCGAAAGUGACGGUACCUACAGAAGAAGCACCGGCUAACUAUGUGCCAGCAGCCGCGGUAAUACAUAGGGUGCAAGCGUUGUCCGGAAUUAUUGGGCGUAAAGAGCUCGUAGGUGGUUCGAUACGUCGGAUGUGAAAAUCAGGGGCUCAACCCCUGACCUGCAUUCGAUACGGUCGAGCUAGAGUUUGGUAGGGGAGACUGGAAUUCCU